CAGAGUGGGUCAAUUGCGAACUCGCAGAUCGGACUGCAAAACGGCAGAAGGUAAAAUGCACACUUUCUGUGCCGGUUGAGUUCUUUUAGAAGCGCGAGUGGAACGCGAACUUGGAGACUCGAUGGAAGUCAGAACUAUUUCCUCUCAACUUGACACUCUAUAAGAGUUUCAGUUCCCGAUUUAGCUGCUUGGCCCUUGACCCUUGAAGGUUAGCCGCUAGCUAGCUGGGGAAUAACCUGGAGCACGUAGCAGCUAGCUAGCUGUUUAACGUAUAUUCCACAGGAGCUGGUAAAAUAAAGUGAGAGUGAAUACUGGAAUUAUAUAUAAUAAGCUACAAAAAAGCAAGACCUAAAUGAACGUGUCUCUAUAACAAAUGGACAAUAAACAACGGUGAACAACAUUUCAUUAAAAAAAGACUACCGUUAGUCCAGACGGCUUGGCGAACAAAUAAUUGCCGGUCGUCUUAUCAGCUGUCAAGCAAAGGUCGUGCCCCCGCCGCAGUCACACGAGGUGGGGAAUGAGUCGUGGGCCCCGGUCCUGGCUGAAAGCUGCAGGAAUGGACAUCGUCGUGAUUCAUCUCUGUCUCAUCGCCCCUGCUGGCGGGAGCUUCCACGGACGGCCGCUCUCUCUGACACUUUCUUCGCCGGCCAGCUCUCAGCCGGCGACAGGAGCCGCGCGCUAACGCGUAGGCAAGCGCUGCUGUAAAUUGAGGCACUCAGUCUUUCCCUGCACAGCUCAGACAAAUGUUUCCCACUGAAGGGUAAACCAUAAAAGCAAUUUCUUGGGCUUAUUUUUUGCUGUUUUGGCCACUAUUACAAUUGGUAAUAACAAUUAUCUUUAAAAGAUAAAAUAUUGUAUAUUUUUAUUACUGAC
Molecule: long non-coding RNA, 873 nt
Organism: Gasterosteus aculeatus aculeatus (three-spined stickleback)
Lineage: Eukaryota; Metazoa; Chordata; Actinopteri; Perciformes; Gasterosteidae
Source: Ensembl